GACGAACGCUGGCGGCGUGCUUAACACAUGCAAGUCGAACGGAGUGGCGACCGGGCGAGUAACACGUGGGUGACCUGCCCUGCACUUCGGGAUAAGCCUGGGAAACUGGGUCUAAUACCGGAUAGUGUGGGAUGGGCCCGCGGCCUAUCAGUUUGUUGGUGGGGUAAUGGCCUACCAAGGCGGCGACGGGUAGCCGGCCGGAGAGGGUGGACGGCCACCUUGGGGCUGGAAGACGGCCCAGGCUCCUACGGGAGGCAGCAGUGGGGAAUAUUGCACAAUGGGCGGAAGCCUGAUGCGGCGACGCCGGGUGGGGGAUGACGGCCUGCGAGUUGUGAACUCCUAUCACAAUCGACGCGGUAUAUGGAGAAGAAGCAACGGCUAACUACGUGCCAGCAGCCGCGGUAAUAC
This 408-nucleotide ribosomal RNA is filed under the name uncultured bacterium. RNAcentral's name for it is "partial 16S ribosomal RNA". It matches the Rfam family "Bacterial small subunit ribosomal RNA", at positions 28 to 526 of the family's 1533-position model. The record is from RNAcentral.